This 31-nucleotide ribosomal RNA is filed under the name uncultured Cenococcum. RNAcentral's name for it is "partial 28S ribosomal RNA". The record is from RNAcentral. Lineage: Eukaryota; Fungi; Ascomycota; Dothideomycetes; Gloniales; Gloniaceae.
UGACCUCGGAUCAGGCAGGGAUACCCGCUGA